UAGUUUUAUUCUUGUUAGAAUUAUUUAUUAUGAAUUUAAUUUACAUGUAAAUUUUUGUUUUCUUGAUGAUUAUUUGGCAGUAAUUAGUUUUAUUAAUUAAGGUAACUUAGAAUUGGUAAUAUUUUUUAUUAUUGGUUAAAUAUGUGCCAGCAUUCGCGGUUAUACAUUUAAUUAAAUUAAAUAUUUAUGGUUUUGUAAUUGUUAUUUUUUUUAUUAGUUUUUAUUUUGUUUUUAGGUGAAAUUUUAAUUUUUAAUUUUCUUUUUAUUUUGGAGGUUAUGAAAACUUUUGUUGAAACUAGGAUUAGAUACCCUAUUAUUUAAGUAGUUAAAAUAUUUUCCUGAGUAGUAUUAGUUAUUUUCUUGAAACUCAAAGAAUUUGGCGGUAUUAUAUUCUUUUCAGAGGAAUCUGUCUCGUUAUUGAUAAUCCGCGUUGUACCUUUCUUGAUUUAUUUCUUGUAUAUCUCCGUUAUAAUGAGUAUCUUUUUAGGGUUAAUUUUCUUGAUUUUUAAUUUAGAAUUAUUUCAGGUCAAGGUGCAGUAUAAUUAAGUGUUGAUGGAUUACUUGUUUAUGGAUUAAUAGUUUAAAUUUUUUUAUGAAAAUGGAUUUGAUAGUAAUUAUUUGAAGAUUGUAAUGGUGAUAUAGUUCUAUAAUAUGUACAUAUCGCCCGUCACUCUCAUUAUUAAUAUGAGAUAAGUCGUAACAUAGUGGUUGUACCGGAAGGUGUGGCUGGGUUGAU
This 736-nucleotide non-coding RNA is filed under the name Lamproblatta sp. LA male. The record is from RNAcentral. Lineage: Eukaryota; Metazoa; Arthropoda; Insecta; Blattodea; Lamproblattidae.